This 482-nucleotide ribosomal RNA is filed under the name uncultured bacterium. RNAcentral describes it as "partial 16S ribosomal RNA". It matches the Rfam family "Bacterial small subunit ribosomal RNA", at positions 29 to 507 of the family's 1533-position model. The record is from RNAcentral.
AUUGAACGCUGGCGGCAUGCCUUACACAUGCAAGUCGAACGGUAACGGGCCUUCGGGUGCCGCCGAGUGGCGAACGGGUGGGUAAUACAUCGGAACGUGCCCGAUCGUGGGGGAUAACGAGGCGAAAGCUUUGCUAAUACCGCAUACGAUCUACGGAUGAAAGCAGGGGACCGCAAGGCCUUGCGCGGACGGAGCGGCUGAUGGCAGAUUAGGUCGAUGGUGGGAUAAAAGCUUUCCCAGCCGACGAUCUGUAGCUGGUCUGAGAGGAUGAUCAGCCACACUGGGACUGAGACACGGCCCCGACUCCUGGGGGGAGACGCAGUGGGGAAUUUUGGGCGAUGGGGGCAAGGCUGAUCCAGGCCAGCCGGCGGAAGGAUGAAGGACUUCGGGUUGGUAAGUGCUUUUGGACGGAAGGAAAAGCCUUCCUUUUAUACAGGAGGGUCAUGACGGUACCGUAAGAAUAAGCACCGGCUAACUACGUG